GAUGAACGCUGGCGGCGUGCCUAAUACAUGCAAGUCGAGCGAACGGACGAGGAGCUUGCUUUUCUGAUGUUAGCGGCGGACGGGUGAGUAACACGUGGAUAACCUACCUAUAAGACUGGGAUAACUUCGGGAAACCGGAGCUAAUACCGGAUAAUAUUUUGAACCGCAUGGUUCAAAAGUGAAAGACGGUCUUGCUGUCACUUAUAGAUGGAUCCGCGCUGCAUUAGCUAGUCGGUAAGGUAACGGCUUACCAAGGCAACGAUGCAUAGCCGACCUGAGAGGGUGAUCGGCCACACUGGAACUGAGACACGGUCCAGACUCCUACGGGAGGCAGCAGUAGGGAAUCUUCCGCAAUGGGCGAAAGCCUGACGGAGCAACGCCGCGUGAGUGAUGAAGGUCUUCGGAUCGUAAAACUCUGUUAUUAGGGAAGAACAUAUGUGUAAGUAACUGUGCACAUCUUGACGGUACCUAAUCAGAAAGCCACGGCUAACUACGUG
Molecule: ribosomal RNA, 497 nt
Filed under: uncultured bacterium
Lineage: Bacteria
Description: partial 16S ribosomal RNA
Rfam family: Bacterial small subunit ribosomal RNA
Source: RNAcentral